This 206-nucleotide ribosomal RNA is filed under the name uncultured bacterium. RNAcentral's name for it is "partial 16S ribosomal RNA". It matches the Rfam family "Bacterial small subunit ribosomal RNA", at positions 568 to 774 of the family's 1533-position model. The record is from RNAcentral.
CAUGUAGGCGGUUUUUUAAGUCUGGAGUGAAAAUGCGGGGCUCAACCCCGUAUGGCUCUGGAUACUGGAAGACUUGAGCGCAGGAAAGGAAAGGGGAAUUCCCAGUGUAGCGGUGAAAUGCGUAGAUAUUGGGAGGAACACCAGUGGCGAAGGCGCCUUUCUGGACUGUGUCUGACGCUGAGAUGCGAAAGCCAGGGUAGCGAACG